GCUAGUUGGUGAGGUAACGGCUCACCAAGGCAAUGACGGGUACCGGGACUGAGAGGUUGAUCCGGCGCAUUGGGACUGAGACACUGCCCAGACUCCUACGGGAGGCUGCAGUAACGAAUAUUGGGCAAUGGGCGCAAGCCUGACCCAGCGAUGCCGCGUGUGGGAAGAAGUCUUUCGGGAUGUAAACCACUGUCAGGGGUUACCAAGUGACGAGGGCUAAUACCCUUCGAAGUUGAGGAACUCCAAAGGAAGCCACGGCUAACUUCGUGCCAGCAGCCGCGGUAAGACGAAGGUGGCUAGCGUUGUUCGGAAUUACUGGGCUUAAAGAGCACGUAGGCGGACUGUCAAGCGUCUUGUGAAAGCCCUCGGCUCAACCGAGGAAUUGCUCGGCGAACUGUCAGUCUUGAGGCAAUCAGGGGCACACAGAACUCUUGGUGGAGCGGUGAUAUGCGUAGAUAUCAAGAGGAAUGCCGGUGGCGAAGGCGGUGUGCUGGGAUUGUCCUGACGCUGAGGUGCGAAAGCCAGGGGAGCGAACGGGAUUAGAUACCCCGGUAGUCCUGGCCCUAAACGAUGUCCACUAGGCUGAAGGCUCUCUGACGGGUUUUCGGCCGCAAUGAAAACGUUAAGUGGAC
RNAcentral lists this ribosomal RNA (632 nucleotides) under uncultured bacterium. Its description in RNAcentral is "bacterial SSU rRNA". It matches the Rfam family "Bacterial small subunit ribosomal RNA", at positions 244 to 869 of the family's 1533-position model. The record is from RNAcentral.